AAAUUGAAGAGUUUGAUCAUGGCUCAGAUUGAACGCUGGCGGCAGGCCUAACACAUGCAAGUCGAGCGGUAGCACAGAGAGCUUGCUCUCGGGUGACGAGCGGCGGACGGGUGAGUAAUGUCUGGGAAACUGCCUGAUGGAGGGGGGUAACUACUGGAAACGGUAGCUAAUACCGCAUAAUGUCGCAAGACCAAAGUGGGGGACCUUCGGGCCUCAUGCCAUCAGAUGUGCCCAGAUGGGAUUAGCUAGUAGGUGGGGUAACGGCUCACCUAGGCGACGAUCCCUAGCUGGUCUGAGAGGAUGACCAGCCACACUGGAACUGAGACACGGUCCAGACUCCUACGGGAGGCAGCAGUGGGGAAUAUUGCACAAUGGGCGCAAGCCUGAUGCAGCCAUGCCGCGUGUGUGAAGAAGGCCUUCGGGUUGUAAAGCACUUUCAGCGGGGAGGAAGGCGUUAAGGUUAAUAACCUUGGCGAUUGACGUUACCCGCAGAAGAAGCACCGGCUAACUCCGUGCCAGCAGCCGCGG
This 528-nucleotide ribosomal RNA is filed under the name Klebsiella pneumoniae. Its description in RNAcentral is "bacterial SSU rRNA". It matches the Rfam family "Bacterial small subunit ribosomal RNA", at positions 1 to 520 of the family's 1533-position model. Lineage: Bacteria; Pseudomonadati; Pseudomonadota; Gammaproteobacteria; Enterobacterales; Enterobacteriaceae. The record is from RNAcentral.